GUGCUUGCAUUGGGAGGAUAUAUAUACCAAAACUGGAAUGAUACAGAGAUUAGCAUGGCCCCAGUGUAAGGGUAACAUGCAAAUUUGUGAAGCACUCCAUAAAAGU
This 106-nucleotide small nuclear RNA is filed under the name Prolemur simus (greater bamboo lemur). The record is from RNAcentral. Lineage: Eukaryota; Metazoa; Chordata; Mammalia; Primates; Lemuridae.